RNAcentral lists this unclassified non-coding RNA (4560 nucleotides) under Amphimedon queenslandica. RNAcentral describes it as "pleckstrin homology domain-containing family H member 1-like, transcript variant X1". Lineage: Eukaryota; Metazoa; Porifera; Demospongiae; Haplosclerida; Niphatidae. The record is from RNAcentral.
UCAUAGCUGUUUGUAAAAUAGAGCUCGACUCAUUCGUCCCCUGUAUCCUCUCCACUCUUUCAUUGCCUCAUUGGACGCAAAGGAGAGGACUAGUGAUAUGGCGUCUCAGUUACACCCUGAUAAGGAAUCGCACUUGUUAGAGACGACGGCUAAAGUGAAGCACGUCAGAGAAGAAGUGACCAAGAAAUUGGACCAGUAUCGUAAGCAAUAUGAAGAGAUGCACAUUAGAGCUCUUACUGCUGAAGUCGAGGUUUCAAACUUGCAACUGAAACUCGAUGAUGUGUUGAGACAGCGCAGCUCCCAGCAUGAUCACGUCCUGUCUCUCAUUGAUGAGAUUGCUAAAGAGAAAUCAAUGAGAGAGGAUUUAUCACUGGCACUUGAUACAGCUAGAGACAAGCUCAAUGAAAUACACAAGAUACUAACUAAAGAAUUUGGAAAGAUACAGACCAAUCAGAAGGACCUGAGAGUCGCUGUCAACUCAUUCAUGAGGUGUGUCUAUGAAUUUAAGACUGGAGUUAUAUCACAGAAUGAUUUCCUGUCAGUAGUUGAGCUAAUAUUCACUUCACUUGAAGCAAGCGAGACUGCUCUACUCUCCCCCAUUGCCUCACAGAAGGAGCCGUCCUCUCAUCUUGAUAUUGUAUUCAACAGGAGCAGCAUACACGAGCUAGCCUCCCUCACUCCUGACAUGAGACGCAAGAAACUAGAAGUACUCCUUGAUAAAUUACUCCCUGAAAGCCUCUUUAAUAAUCUCUCACCUUCUGGGGACUUCUUGACUCAGUUGUUUGAACUCCCAGACUCUCCUUCAUUGCGUACCUCUCCCCUAACUCCUCCCACUAUUCCUCCUCUUCACUCUGCUCCUAAACGCUCUAUCACUAAACCACACACAAUGCCUCCCCUCCCUCCCCCUCUCCCUCCUAAACCCUCCCCCACUCCUCCCCCUAACUCGGUCCAUGGCAAGCAUUACAUUGCAAUGGAAAAUGGCAGUGCUGCUAAUCCUGAUGAGGACUCGGAUGACUCUGAGUCUGAUUUUGUUGAUAUACAAGAGAUCAAUAGACAGACUCUAUCGCAGAAGAAUGCUUUGAAGCAACAGGCCUCUGCUACUGCUACAACAGCUGGAAGAGAGAAGCUCGCUGAUUGGAUGAAAGUCUCUCGUCCGAGACACUUAAAGUCUCACAAAGUUUCCUUCAAGCGUUCAAUGUCGUGUGACCUCUUAGACGUGUCAGGAGAGAGCGCUGAUUCCACUGAUAGCUCUUAUGCUUACUCCUUUGCAUUCCAGCACGUACAAGCAUGGAGGAAACUAAUAGGCCUGCGAGACAGCAGCGUAUUGACAGGGAGCUUACCUCGGAUACACAGUGAUGGGUGUGUCGAUGAGGAGAACCUGUACUACAUUGCACCCAAUGACUUCAGAUCAGUCCUUUCUCAAGUGAGAGGAGAAAGUAUGAAAAUGGGAGGACAAGAGGUGACAGAGAGGGCCAUACAGAGGGUUGACUCCAUUGUCACUACUCACAGGUCAUCCACUUUGAUAGAAUCGGCUGAGUACCUGUCACUGUUGAGAGGUACUGAUCCUCCUAGGACAAAGAAGGACUGGUUUAAAGUGAAGGACAGAGGUUCGAGUAAAACUAAACCCAUGACAACCCCACGUCUUAAUUACGAAAACCAACCGAAACCGUUCCCGCAGCGACAAAGCUCUGCCCCUAAGAAUAUUAUGUCCAGCACAACUCGAUCAUUCCCUUUAUCUCCAAUACAUUCUUUACCUUUUGAUGAUCCAAAAUACGGUCGUGUGACCACUACUCAUUUUAGUGAUAUUUAUAAUAGCCCCGAGACAUCCCCAUCUCCACCCCCUAGAUCAUCUCUGCACAACAGAUUCACACAAAUUGAAGGGAACAGUGCCAAAACCGGUAGGACUAGUAUGACUGGUUUAUCCCCAGUCCCUGGUAGCCCAAUACUACAAAGCAAAGGGGCCCCUGCUUUACCCCCUAAGACCCACAAUAAGGUUGAUAUACAGAUCAGGGACCCUCCCCCUCUUCCCUCCUCUUUCUCUUCUGUCCCCCCGGCCCAUUCUCCCAGUCCUAAACCGAUACCUAAACCUCGAUUCAAGAAGGACAGCGUUCAUGGUAGUACUGCUAGGUCUAGUCUUCCUUCUUCUGCUCCUCCUCCUCUUCCUCCCUUUCAUCCAGUCACUAGCUCUCUCCCUCCAUUAGAGACCUCAGCAGUAUUGAAGCCGCCGGUUGAGAAUGAUGCUUUAACCAGCCCUGCAUACUUCUCACUCAAAAGAGGGACUCAUUCUCUGCAGCUAAUUCCUCAGUUUUAUGAUUCUGAUGAUGAUCAUGAUGAUGAUGAUCUGAGCUCUUAUUCUCUUGGAGAGUUUAAGCUAGUAGAGAGGAAGGAGUCUUUACCAAUGUGUGAUAUAAAGGAGCAAUCCUUAGAUCCUAACUCAGGAGAGUGUACUCAGAGUUCAGUAUCAGAUAGCAGUGAUGAUGAGUACAUGAUACCACCUGAUGCUGCUAUUGGUUAUGUUGAGCCGUCAUCAUCUGGACGCAACAGUAAAGAUAUGCCACGCAACAAGAAAUACACUGCAACACUACCGGCAUCAUCUGUCGAUAAUACCAGUUAUGAGAAGCAGGGGUACCUCCAUAAGUUAGAUCCUAGACUAAAGCACUGGACCAGAAGAUGGUUUAUACUGAAAGGAAAAGAAUUGAAAUAUUAUUCAAAAAAAGGUGCAACGUAUCGAGCCAAAGGUGUCAUUAAUCUUGCUGCUUGGUGUAAAGUCACAAGGCAUGAGCUAACCAGCUCAUUCCAAUUGGCUACACCUACCAGGACCUAUCACUUUGUGGCUGACAGUGGAGCUGAUUGUGAAGACUGGAUUAAAGCACUGGAGUCUGUAAUGAGAAUGUGUCAGAACAAUAUGUCAUCACCAGCUACUAAAGACAUACCAGCAAACUGGGCCAAAGUGAAAUUAUCCUCAUGGAGUCAAGGUCAUCAAAAGAUGUGGAUUGCAUUAUUGAAUCAGUCGCUGAUACUGUAUCAAGACCCUGACACUGAUCCCUUGCAGUCCUUCACACUAGUUGAUGCUAUGGUUCGUCACUGUACCGAUGCACCUGGUUUCAGGUCACGCCCAUCAUUCUGUCAUAUCAAAGAUGAGUUCACUAUAGUAGUUGAGUUAUCUGAUCCAACUAACGCGAGCAAUGAACCAGAGACAAUCUCAUUGUCCUUUUCAGAUAAAGAUGAUAUGGAUAAAUGGUUCUAUCACUUAGUGUCUGCAUCAUCAGGUGAAACUGGUCCUGAACUCACUUUAACAGAGAAAGUUGUAGCACGUCUUUAUAGAACAAAGAAAGAAGAACUAGCAUCUGCAACCACAUUAUGGUGUAAUCCAGUCCUUAACUAUACAACUGAGAAUAUCCAGGAGCCAUUAGUAUCCUUACCAUCAACCACACUCACUUUAGAGGCUGUUCAAUUAUUUAAAAGUCUUCAGUUGUUUGUUGCAACUCCAUUUGAUCCACUUGCUCUUGACUAUCACAUUGUAUCUCUUCAGCAAAUUGUCAGUCGGUGCCUACCAGAGACUGCUCUUCACGAUGAGCUCUACUGUCAAAUACUCCGUCAAAUAUCAGCUCCUUCAAGUCUACAGAGCAGCCAUAUUGUCAUGCAGAGCUGGUUCUUGCUCUGUUUACUGAUACCACACAUUCAACCAAGAAGAAAACUCUUCAGUUGGUAUUUGAAGGCUUUCAUAACUCGUCAACAGAGUCAUUUUGGGUCACAGCCUACAAUAAUAGGACAACUGAUUGGUCUUUGUGAUACAAGACUAGCACGGACUGAGAAGAAUGGCCUGAGAGAGAAGAAAGCAUCAUGGUGGGAACUACACUCCUUGAUGUCACGCCCUAUUCACCUUACUUGUGUGAUGCAGAUGAAACUGGGAAUACACAUACACUUACUGAAUGAUACAUCAGUGACAGUAGAUGCUGACUCCUCUACCACAGUACAAGAGUUAGUGUCCCAGUUGAACCAAGAGCUAGGGAUGGAGAGUGUGUGUAGUGUGUACUACUGGUUUCUCACUGAUGAGUGACUGGCCAGGUGAAGAAGGAAUGGACAUAUUCUAUUUAUUUCCAAACAGCAAACUAAUGGAUGUCAUAUCAAUGUGGAGUGACAGUAUGACUGAACUGGGUAGCUCAUCAACUCAUGCACGGACCAUUCGUCUCACGUACCGUAACCGCCUCUCAUUUAAAACAAGGCGUGGCCAAGAAACUGAUAGAGAGGUUAUAUUAUUAGCCUAUCAGUAUAGUAAAGAUGUACUCAAUGAUUAUUAUCUUGUUCCUUCACUUGAUAUUGCUCUUGAUAUUAUAGCAAGAAUGGCACAGAUUGAUUAUGGUGAUUGUAGUUCCCUCACUAAUGCACAAGACAUUGCUAAAGAUGCAGUGAGGAGGUUUUGCUGUCGUAAAUUCACAAUGAACAUACUACCACAUGACAUGGAGCUACUGAGUAGCCGUUUAUUACAGAAAUGGAAAGGAUAUCAUAAUAUCAGUCGCCAGUCUUGCUCUAGAAUGUUACUGACACUGUUAGCUGACA